UGAGGAGCCGCGGGAAAGGAGAGGAGGGGCGGUGGCCAGGCGGUUGCCCUGACAACGGGAAACCGACAGUCUCUUCCCGGUAGGGAGAGGGGAUGGCGGAAUUACUCCUCUAAUGUCAAGGUUUUCUAAUCACAGAAUUACUGGAGCGUCAAGAAGCGCCUGCAUGCUUGGAAGGGCUUCCAGGCAGAUGAACACACCUCAGCACCGGGUGGCAGUUUCCCAGGGUGCAACCCGGACCGGCUCUGGGUCACACUGACAAGCCUCUCCGACUCCCCAGGCUGGGUUGGGUGCUCCUCCCUCUCAUCCCACAGCGCUAUGUCUCAUGUCUUCUGGAAAACUUGCCAAUCCCUAGUGUAAGUGUGACUGGUCUAUUGUGAGCACCUAUUGUUCAGGGACCUCUGUUUACCUGAGGCCAGGACAAGGGCCUGGAGUGUGAGCAGGAGCAAGGGAGUGCUCGGGAAAUGGAAACAAUGAAUGAAUCAAUCAGUCAAUCAGAUAACAAGGAUUAACAAUUUCCAGAGACAGCCCGUACAUAGAGGGAAAGUUUACUGAAAAAAAUGAAGAGGGGUCAGGGCAAGGCGAGGAGCAAGAAGCAUCCCCAAGGAAACAGAGAAGACCAGUACAACUGUACCUCUUUGCCAGCUGCACCAUCCGUACCAGUCUCCUGGGGUGGGAGUGUACAGCUCAGAGACUGCCACACUGCAAGACGAAGGGGCUGGAUGGACGGAAGUAAGAGGCGGAACCCUGCACACCCUCGGCCUCAGCCCCACUGAGUCUCCAAUGGGGCCACGCUUCUGAGUGCACCUCCCCCUGU
This 814-nucleotide non-coding RNA is filed under the name Pongo abelii (Sumatran orangutan). The record is from RNAcentral. Lineage: Eukaryota; Metazoa; Chordata; Mammalia; Primates; Hominidae.